AAGUCGUAACAAGGUUUCCGUAGGUGAACCUGCGGAAGGAUCAUUAACGAGUUAUUGAACAGGUUGUAAGCUGACCUCUUAUCAGAGGUAUGUGCACGCCUGGCUCAUCCACUCUCCAACCUCCUGUGCACCUGUUGUAGGUUGGUGGAAGGGCAAGUCUGAUUGACAUUAUUUGUUGGUUGAACUUUGCUUGGAAGCCUUCCUAUGUCUUUUUUUCACAAACGCUUCAGUUUAAGAAUGUGUCUUUGCAUAUAAUGCAUUUAUAUAUACAACUUUCAGCAACGGAUCUCUUGGCUCUC
RNAcentral lists this unclassified non-coding RNA (299 nucleotides) under Phanerochaete citrinosanguinea. RNAcentral describes it as "partial internal transcribed spacer region". The stretch from base 1 to 46 matches the Rfam family "Eukaryotic small subunit ribosomal RNA", at positions 1786 to 1831 of the family's 1831-position model. The record is from RNAcentral. Lineage: Eukaryota; Fungi; Basidiomycota; Agaricomycetes; Polyporales; Phanerochaetaceae.